AUGGCAUCAUUCAUAGCCCUCGAGCACCAUGUGAUUAUUUAUUUAUAUAUAUAUAUAUUUAUGAAUGGAAUAGAGAGUUAUAGAGAGAGAGUUAGAGAGAGGGAAAGAAUGCCAAAAGGCAAUGAAGCUCGCCAAGCUGUAAACAAUACCAUGCAGCCACUCAAUAGUCUAAUUAUACAUCAUUGGGUGAAGACAAAACACUGA
Vicia faba (fava bean) is the source of this 204-nucleotide non-coding RNA. The record is from the annotation of a GenBank genome assembly. NCBI's taxonomy places the organism in Eukaryota, Viridiplantae, Streptophyta, Magnoliopsida, Fabales, Fabaceae.